Molecule: long non-coding RNA, 1025 nt
Filed under: Canis lupus familiaris (dog)
Lineage: Eukaryota; Metazoa; Chordata; Mammalia; Carnivora; Canidae
Description: lncRNA (ENSCAFG00000054117.1)
Source: RNAcentral
AACUUGAAAACAUUGCAAGGCUUGUCCAUAUCAAUAUUGGAGUUGGCAAAUACAUUGAUCCUAAUUGUUGAUGUGGAGAUUAAUUGUAUUUAGUGAGACAGAUGUACUAGUAGUGUUACACAAGUGUCCAAUAGAGGUUGCUGUGAGUUGGAAUGAUUAGCUUUUAAAAAUGUGUGCAUAGGAACCACUCCUUUAUGCUUGUUGUCAUGGUGUGAUUGGGGUAGAAACAAAAGAAGGAAGAUUUAGAUUGGAAAGAUAGGCAUAAGAAAGAAGGAAGACAGGGACUAAGUCAGACAAGAAGAGCUUUGACUGUUUUAGGGUCAAUUCUGUGGUUAUUAACCAAGACAGAUAGAAGCAGCAAUUAUAUUUGGGACACAAAAACUCAAGUGCAGAAAGAAGCCAGGAGAAGACCAGCUGAUCCUCUAGGUACCUGUCUCUUAUAAAUAGGGUCUGGAAUCCAGAACUUUGGAAUGAAGUAAAAAAACCAAGAUAAGGGACUUCGGAAUAAAGUGUCAGUAACCCAGCAAACAAAAUCAGAGGUCUAGGACACCAGCACUAACAGCUUAGAGCCUAAACUUGUGAAGAUUUGGAGAAGGCCUGAGCUCAGUUUUACCUUUCUCAUUUAAUUUAUAUUUAUUAGGCACCCAUUAUGUGCCAGGCACUGCAUGAGCAGCAGAGGCUAUUAUUGAACAAGGUGAGGUGUUUUUUUUUGUUUGUUUGUGUUUUUUUUUAGUGCUGACUGGACCCCGCUGACCUACAGUGAUGACAAGGGGCCCCAUUGUGGGUGGAACUGUGGCGCCUCAGGGUUCCACCGCUGCCUGGUGCUUACUCUGCGUCCGCAGGCAGGUGGAGGCACUCGUGCUCCGGAUCUGGCUCACAGCGCCCGAACUAUCCCACUCUCCCCAGUACCCCAGUGUAUAAAGUGUGAGUGCUCACACAGUGACAGGCCACAGCUGCUGCUGCUACUGAAUUUGAGGCAUGCCAUGCACCGCUUCUGCAGUGAUAGCUUUGUUUUUGCAAAGUGA